Molecule: long non-coding RNA, 1599 nt
Filed under: Malus domestica (apple)
Lineage: Eukaryota; Viridiplantae; Streptophyta; Magnoliopsida; Rosales; Rosaceae
Description: long non-coding RNA (MDOM_LNC012512)
Source: RNAcentral
UGGCAUGAAGAUGAGUUCUUUCUUCACCUGGUUGGUGGGAUGAGUGGCAAGUUGCCAAAUGAUAUUAGAGUACGGGUUGUACAUUUCAUCACCUGAUUGGUGGCAUGAAGAUGAGUUCCUUCUUCACAUUUCAUCACCUGGUUGGUGAGAAUAAGGGCAAUGUGUCGAGGCACAUUGUAGCAAGUGUCGAAGACACAAAGUAUGUUGAACCCUUUCAAAGCACAGUUGACUUAUGUAUGGAUGUGUUGGAAUGUAUGAUGUUUAUGUAUGAAUGUGUUGGAAUGUAUGAUGUUUAUGUUGAUUGAUAUGAAUGAUGCUUAUGAAUGUUUUGCUAUGCAUGAAGGGAUCCAUGCUUUUGAUAUGUGAACCAUGUUGGUUGUAACACUUAGUAUCACAUACUUUGUGUCAAAGUAUGCAUGUUGAAGCUCUGAGUUGGAGUAUAAGGGUAGGUCAGUGUAGACCAAGUGUUCCAAUGCUAGGAACGCAAAAGACUUAGAAGAAGUUGUCUAAAUUCUCUUUUCUUUAAAUAUUUGUUGAAUGGCUUGUGUAACAAAAGAUCUCAAGCGGUUGAGAGUCAAAACAUUUGUAAUGUAUAUGCCUUCUUAUAAUAGCAUUUUCUUCACUACCGUGAAGGCCUUGAGGGCGAUCUUGUCAUCUGCCUCAGCGCAGCGAGAAUACUCAUGGCUAAAGCGACCAGCAUACUCUCGUAGUGACUCAUCCGGCUUCUAGCUAAUAGUGUACAAGUCAUCUGCAGAAUGCAAGCGAUCGGUCUGGAAGAUGUGUUGAGAGACAAACAGUUUCCUCAGUUCCUCAAAUGAGUCUACUGUCUCAGGUGGAAGACGGCAAUACCAGUUUAGAGCUCCACCAGAGAGGGUGGAGGGGAAGAGAAGACAUCGCUCUUCGUCGGUGUGCAUCUGAUAUGCCAUGGUGGACUCAAAGAGGUUAAGGUGUUCAAUUGGGUCCUUCAUUCCAGUAUAGAGUUGUAAACAAGGCUUUUGUUUUGUCUUCACUUGAAAGGGGUGUCGAGGAUCCUCCUUAUGAGAGGGUCAAGCCUGGGUUGGUUCCAGUCAGGUAUCUCGGCCUAAAGUUCGGCCUUCAACUUGUUUACUUCCUCAAUGAGCUGUAAGACAAAGGGGUCCUGAGUGGAGUCAUGUACCACUGGAAUUUUCUUUCAUAAGUCUCCAUUGCCUCUUGGAAGUAGGAAAGUUUGAGCAAGGGCGUAUGGUUUUUUCUUGGACACGCCGUACUAACUUCUAGGGCGAGUCUGUCGGAAUACCUCAGAGUCCCCUAUACCUUCAAUUUCCUCUAGGACCUGUCGUUCCUUCCUUAGAUUGGCAGCUGGCCUGGAUCUUGGAAAGGGACCGAUCUUUCAGAAACCCUUAGGUCAUUGAUCUUCGAGCAUAUGUGGAAGGGAUUCUCUCGACGUUACUUUAGGAAGUCUUAGCAGUCACGAUAAAUGGCUUUCGAUCAUUCCAACCCUUCUGCAAGGAGGUGUUUUCCUCCACUUCUCCUGCUUCGGGUCGAAGCAUCUGGGUUGAGAGAAGUCUCAUGUUGAUCAAUGUUUUAAUGAUUAGCUUGCUCCUCAUCAAGGAUACCCAU